UACAGAGGUCCCCAAGCGUUGUUCGGAUUUACUGGGCGUAAAGGGUGCGUAGGCGGUUGGGUAAGUCUGAUGUGAAAUCCCCGGGCCCAACCCGGGAACGGCAUUAGAAACUGCCCGGCUGGAGGGUUGGAGGGGGGACUGGAAUUCCCGGUGUAGCAGUGAAAUGCGUAGAUAUCGGGAGGAACGCCAGUGGCGAAGGCGAGUCCCUGGACAACACCUGACGCUGAGGCACGAAAGCUAGGGGAGCAAACAGGAUUAGAUACCCGUGUAGU
RNAcentral lists this ribosomal RNA (272 nucleotides) under uncultured bacterium. RNAcentral's name for it is "partial 16S ribosomal RNA". It matches the Rfam family "Bacterial small subunit ribosomal RNA", at positions 524 to 794 of the family's 1533-position model. The record is from RNAcentral.